GUUGACGCAUAUUUGCAUGUGCGGUCUGCCAAGGACUUGUGGGAGGCGCUCAAAUCUAAGUUCGGGGCUGUCGAUGCAGGGAGCGAGAUGUAUAUUAUAGAGCAGUUCCAUGAUUACAAGAUGGUUGAAAACCGUCCUGUAUUGGAGCAGGCUCAUGAGAUAAUAUGCAUUGUUAAGGAGCUUGAGCUUCUUAAGUGCGAGUUACCAGGCAAGUUUGUCGCGGGCUGCAUAAUCGCUAAGCUUCCCAAUUCCUGGAGGAACUUUGCCACCACUCUGAAACAUCAGAGGCGUGAAUUCUCUGUGGAGGAUGUCAUUGGCCAUCUGAGUGUUGAGCAGAAUUCAAGGGAAAAGGACUCGCAUGGAAAAGGGGUCAAAGGAACUUUUGUGGCCAACAUGGUGCAUCAGAAGAACUCCAAUUCCCACAAGCCCAAGGGAAAUAACGGUGUCCAACAGAGUGCCGACUUUAAGAAGAAGGGUAAGAAGACCUUCAAGAAGAACAAGAAGGAUGAGGGCUGCUUUACU
This 522-nucleotide ribosomal RNA is filed under the name Triticum aestivum (bread wheat). RNAcentral describes it as "partial small subunit ribosomal RNA". The record is from RNAcentral. Lineage: Eukaryota; Viridiplantae; Streptophyta; Magnoliopsida; Poales; Poaceae.